CAGAGUGCACCGCGUGGCAAGGCACGCUGACGCGGUGCUAUGCGAAAGGCCACGCUAGCGAUCUGCGUGCCCACGAUCAGACGGUUCGGAUUUGUUCCUGUGCGCACUUACGGUCCAGAUAUGUUCCCUCCUCAGACGCGAUCGAAUAGUCACGAUUAAACACGAUGAACGAUCCAGAUCCACUCCCUAUUUAAACGUGAUUGGACGACACAGAUCAAAUUGUGAUGAAC
RNAcentral lists this long non-coding RNA (230 nucleotides) under Carica papaya (papaya). RNAcentral's name for it is "long non-coding RNA (CPAP_LNC003064)". The record is from RNAcentral. Lineage: Eukaryota; Viridiplantae; Streptophyta; Magnoliopsida; Brassicales; Caricaceae.